Molecule: small nuclear RNA, 150 nt
Filed under: Tupaia belangeri chinensis (Chinese tree shrew)
Lineage: Eukaryota; Metazoa; Chordata; Mammalia; Scandentia; Tupaiidae
Description: Tupaia chinensis (Chinese tree shrew) U4 spliceosomal RNA
Rfam family: U4 spliceosomal RNA
About the family: U4 small nuclear RNA (U4 snRNA) is a component of the major U2-dependent spliceosome. The structure of U4 snRNA from yeast and human has been reported.
Source: Rfam by way of RNAcentral
AGCUUUGCGCAGUGGCAGUAUCGUAGCCAAUGAGAUUUAUCCGAGGCGCGGUUAUUGCUAAUUGAAAAAAAAAGUGUUCUUCAUAAAACUUGAAAUAAUUCUUAAAAUAUGAAGACUGAUAUAAAAAUUAUUCAUAAUCCCAUCACUAGG